Molecule: ribosomal RNA, 254 nt
Filed under: uncultured bacterium
Lineage: Bacteria
Description: partial 16S ribosomal RNA
Rfam family: Bacterial small subunit ribosomal RNA
Source: RNAcentral
UACGGAGGGAGCUAGCGUUAUUCGGAAUUACUGGGCGUAAAGCGCACGUAGGCGGCUUUGUAAGUAAGAGGUGAAAGCCUGGAGCUCAACUCCAGAAUUGCCUUUUAGACUGCAUCGCUUGAAUCAUGGAGAGGUGAGUGGAAUUCCGAGUGUAGAGGUGAAAUUCGUUAGAUAUUCGCAAGAACACCAGUGGCGAAGGCGGCUCACUGGCCCGGUACUGACGCUGAGGUGCGAAAGCGUGGGGAGCGAACAGG